AUGAUGAUGCUGCAAGAAGAAGGAAUAAUUCAAUGGAGGGGAGAAGGAGAAUAAGAGGAGAGAAGAGAAAGAGAAUUAAUAAAACCCCAAUUAAGUGGUGGAAGAUUUGAGGAAAAGGAACAUAACAAGAAAGGGACAAAGCUAAGACAUAAAGUUUUGAUUUUGGAAGAAAGAGGGGAUAUUAAGAAGCAUCAAGACCCAAUGAUACAAUUGUUGAAGAAAGUGAAGUGAAGUGAUGAGGCCACAGGGAAAAAAGGGUUAGCCAUAAAUGGCAACACACAAGUGGGAGAUUUUUACAUCUGCACAUUGAAUUAUUCUCCAAAGGGCAGAGAACAAGGAAUUUUUAUUUCUUGUUUAUUACAA
Long non-coding RNA from Andrographis paniculata, 363 nucleotides. RefSeq lists it as uncharacterized. Lineage: Eukaryota; Viridiplantae; Streptophyta; Magnoliopsida; Lamiales; Acanthaceae. The record is from RefSeq and is a predicted model, not a curated record. The transcript has 2 exons.